GAUGAACGCUGGCGGCGCGCCUAACACAUGCAAGUCGUACGAUUAAAGCACCUUCGGGUGUGUAUACAGUGGCGAACGGCGGAUUAACACUUGGGCAACUUGCCCCUUUCAUUGGGUUAGCGACGGAAAACCGUGGAUAGUACCGAAUACUUCGAGACUUCCCCUUUGAAGACUCGAGAAAGCACCGGCUGCGAGGGAUGGUCCCGCGGGUUGUUAGUUUUUUGGUGGGGUCACGGCCUACAAGGGCAAUGAUGGGUAGCGGGGUUGAGAGACCGACCAGCCAGAUAGGGACUGAGAGACGGGCCAGACACCCACGGGAGGGAGCAGUGGGGAAUCUUGCAGAAUGGGCGAGAGCCUGAUGCAGCGACGCCGCGUGCGGGAUGAAGGGCUUCGGGUUGUAAACAGCGUUCAGCAGGGACGAGGCGAAAGUGACGGUACCUGCAGAAGAAGCCACGGCUAACUACGUG
Molecule: ribosomal RNA, 467 nt
Filed under: uncultured bacterium
Lineage: Bacteria
Description: partial 16S ribosomal RNA
Rfam family: Bacterial small subunit ribosomal RNA
Source: RNAcentral